RNAcentral lists this long non-coding RNA (3527 nucleotides) under Lactuca sativa (garden lettuce). RNAcentral's name for it is "long non-coding RNA (LSAT_LNC008675)". The record is from RNAcentral. Lineage: Eukaryota; Viridiplantae; Streptophyta; Magnoliopsida; Asterales; Asteraceae.
AUUUAUUAAAUAAAUAAUAUAAAUUAUUAAUAAACUGGAAACCACAAAACACCACCGGACGCCGCUAGAAGCAUCCUGCAACCAGUACCGUCACAUUUGUCACUGUUGGAAGGAGAUCUGAAGCAGUGAGCGAUGGAGAUCUGGUUGAUGAGUCACUUCGCUUGUCGACGCCCCCAUCUGAUUCACCGAGAGAUCCGGUCAUCGACUGCAUCUGUUCCCUCCUCGCUCCUCCCUCUUCGCCAUCGACUGCAUCUGCUCCUUCCUCGCUCAUCCUCUCCGCCAUCGUUUCUUUAAAGGUUUCAGGUGUGGCGGUGGUUCACUUUACUUGUUUUCCUCCAUUCUUGUCACUAUGGCGGGGGUAUUUGUUUUAAGCUAAUCCAAUUCUCAUUCUAUUCGGCUGGGUUUUCUUCUGGAGGGGCUCCUUUUUGUUUCUGUGUGGCGAUUUUUGCGUUUCUUAUGACAUACGUGGCGUUUUUUUGGGGUUUAGGUAUUGCAAGUCGCUUCUUUGAAUUUCCCUCUUCUGACUUCUCAUCUCUUGUCGUCUUCUUUCUCUGUGUUUUGUUGUUCUUUCAUGUAAUACAUUCCUCCAUUGAUAUUCCGUCAUCUAUGAUUUCCCUUUCUAUGACCUUUGAUUUCCUAUAUUUCGUUAUUCUCUGUUUCUCUCUUAUGUCUGACGUCUGUUUGUAGAGAUUGUCCUCCCUGCUGUCCUCUUUCUUCUUCCUCAGCUUUGCGUCUGGGCUUUUACAGGUAAUACUUUUGCCAUUGAUCACUGCUACUUUCUGUGAUCUAUCUAUACAAGUUCUGCAAUGGAGGUCACUACAUUUAACUAGACAUUCCCAGAUGCCGAGUUUCCGGUUUGAGACAAAAUUGCUGCUGUUGUCAGACUCAGCUAUGGAAUCGGUUAGUUUCCAUUUCUUUUCCCUAAAUUAAAACUUCAAAACGAAAAUUUCAUUGUGUGUUGAAACUUGAAACUUGAAUGAGAACAUUAAUGGUGGUACUUCAUCGAAUAGUCGAUUCUAUGGUGAUUCAUGAUGGGGUUUUGAUUUUUGCUAUCUCUAAUGAACAUGGAUCAAUGGAGAUUUAGAAUUUGUUGUUCUUCAUGGUUACAUCUUCCUUUCUAAUAAAGGUGAAAAAUUCAUGCAUACCUUUUCUUUCUCGUAAACAUAUUGUUCAACUUUGGCCUAUUAAACACAUGUUCUACAAAAUCCAUCCAUAUAUUAACUCAAAAUUGGUGUAAAACCAAAACAAGAGAUGAUUGCGUAAAAAAAAAACCAGAUUAUUGAUUCCUACCCUAAUAUGGAAGUACACAUAUCAUUAAGAAUCAGAAUUAGAUAAUUGACUGUUAAAAAAAAAUCUUUAGUGUCAUAUAUGCAAUGGUGUCGGGUUAUUGAAGGUUUAGUCUGAUAGACUUAUUGACUUAUUUCAUGUGUAUUUUUUUACAUUCCAUUACGAUAUAGUGUGCUGCAAUUUCCAUGUUUUUUUUCGAGAUACAUGAUGAUUAUUAAAAUGACAAAAUGAGUUACAUGAAGAUAGCAUGCAUGACUUUUUUACCUUUCAAGUUGCACAUGUGAUUUAUAGUUGCCUUAUAUUGACUAUCAAUUUUUUUGUAGAUAUUUCGAUCAAGGUAUGGAUGUCAGAAGAAGUUUUUUUAGUUUGAACCACUUUUUGUAACUUAAAUUAGAGAAACUUAUAAUACUAUAUACCUAUUAAUUAGAAUUAUGAAGAAAAAGAAUAUUUUGAAACCAAGUGGCAGCCCAGCCAAAUAAAGUUUGAAUUGAAGAAACAAAACUCAUAUACAAAUUUACACCAACUUAGUUUUUUGCUUACUAGAUUGAGGAAAUUGUCGAUAUUCAUAAGCAAAUCUAGAUACAUAAAACACACAGAAUAUAACUCGGAUUUCCAUAGCCACUAUGCUUGCUAAAAAGAAAUCUCCUAUUACUAGCAGUGUAGCUGCAAUGUGUAUCCCAUAACUACUCUUUAUUUUUCUAUAUUGUGUAAUUAUUUUUGGCAAAGAACUCACAGGAUUGUAUGAGAGUAUGAUAUGAGCCCAAAUAUUCGCAACAAAUGAACAUCAAAAUUGACCAAAUCUAUGAUAGAAUCUUACCUAUAGGAGAACGGCGACUACGAAGAACUUCAUGGAAUUGUGAACGGAGGUUGGCUGCUGAUUCGAUGGACUCCAUCUUCUGAAAUUCCGACAAGCAACGGUGAUGUGAACACGUUGAUGUGAUGUGUUGUGUUUAUAUUUAUAGUAGAGUAAUUGCGAUACGGGAGCAGGUGAGAGUGAUGGAACAUCUCCGGUAUGUGGUGGUUGUACUUGUAGGUGAUAGUGCGAAUGGAGAGAACAAAUUACUGAAAUGGCCCUUGUGGUUUGCAAAAAUUUCACGUUUGGUUCCUAAGUAUUCUUUUGCACUUGGACGGUCUGUAAGUUUUUAUUUUAUUGUGUUUUUCAUACCUCAUGGAGCUAAAAAAGACUAUAUUAUCCUUUAUCUUUAUAUUUUCAAAAUUUUAUAUUAUUAGUUUACUAUUGAAUAAUAUAAAUUAUUAAAUAAACUUGAAAUUGGACCCACCUAAAACCCUACACCCCUCACGUCCUCUCACAUUUCAGUUGGUCGACGUUGCGAAUCAGCGACCGCUGCCGGAAAACACCAGGAAACCACUAGACCGCCGAUCCGAGCUCUAAAUCGACUGAUUUGCUCCAUCAACCACUGAUCUUCAUAACCGGACACCACUAGAAGCAUUCUGCGACCAAUAUUUUUCACUAUUGGAUGGAGAUUUGAAGCAGUGCUGGAUGGAGAUCUGGUUCAUGAGUUACUUCUCUUCUUCUCGACGCCUCCAUCUGAUCCACUGAGAGAUCCGGUCAUCUAUUGCAUCUGCACCCUCCUCGCUCAUCCUCUUCGCCAUCAGUUUAUAAAGGGUUCAAGGGUGGCGGUGGUUUACUUUACUUGUCUUCCUCCAUUCUUGUCACUAUGGCGGGCGUAGCUUCAUGACACCGUAGUGGAUUCGGUGGUCAUUGCUUCAUGUUACUAUGGUGUUGGUGGCUUCACGACGAUGAUGACAACAAAUCUAGAAGCUUUUAGUUUUUAGUAGCGGUUUUCAGGCGACGAAGGGAGAGAUGUUUUCAAGGGAGGCGGUGUUUUCAGAAAGAUAAGAGACAACGAUGGUGGUGGUUUCAUUUAGGAUAUACAUCGAGUAAAUUAUGAAAACCGUUUGUUUCAUUUAGGAUAUGUAUUAUUUAAAUUGUAAAAAUUGGUUGUUUCAUUUAGGAUAUGCAUUAUGUAAAUUAUGAAAAUCGUUUGUUUCAUUUACGAUAUUCAUCGAGUAAAUUACGAAAAUCGUUUGUUUCAUUUAGGAUAUGCAUCGAAUAAAUUACGAAACUUGUUUGUUUCAUUUAGGAUAUUUAUCGAGAAAAUUUCGAAAAUCGUUUGUUUCAUUUAGUAUAUGCAUUGAGUAAAUUACGAAACUGUUUGUUUCAUUCAAGAUAUGUAUUAUGUAAAUUGUGAAAAUUGGUUGUUUCAUUUAGGAUAUAC